RNAcentral lists this ribosomal RNA (484 nucleotides) under uncultured bacterium. Its description in RNAcentral is "partial 16S ribosomal RNA". It matches the Rfam family "Bacterial small subunit ribosomal RNA", at positions 30 to 507 of the family's 1533-position model. The record is from RNAcentral.
AUUGAACGCUGGCGGCAGACCUAACACAUGCAAGUCGAGCGGAUGAAGGGAGCUUGCUCCUGGAUUCAGCGGCGGACGGGUGAGUAAUGCCUAGGAAUCUGCCUGGUAGUGGGGGAUAACGUCCGGAAACGGGCGCUAAUACCGCAUACGUCCUGAGGGAGAAAGUGGGGGAUCUUCGGACCUCACGCUAUCAGAUGAGCCUAGGUCGGAUUAGCUAGUUGGUGGGGUAAAGGCCUACCAAGGCGACGAUCCGUAACUGGUCUGAGAGGAUGAUCAGUCACACUGGAACUGGGACACGGUCCAGACUCCUACGGGAGGCAGCAGUGGGGAAUAUUGGACAAUGGGCGAAAGCCUGAUCCAGCCAUGCCGCGUGUGUGAAGAAGGUCUUCGGAUUGUAAAGCACUUUAAGUUGGGAGGAAGGGCAGUAAGUUAAUACCUUGCUGUUUUGACGUUACCAACAGAAUAAGCACCGGCUAACUUCGUG